CUGGUUGAUCCUGCCAGUAGUCAUAUGCUUGUCUCAAAUGAUUAAGCCAUGCAUGUCUAAUACAAGCCUAACUAAGGUGAAACCGCGAAUGGCUCAUUAAAUCACACCUAAUCUACUGGAUAGCCUAGUCAGUUACUUGGAUACCUGAGGUAAUUCUUCAGCUAAUACAUGCACACAAGCCUCGAACUUACGUGAGAGGCGCUUUUAUUAGAUCAAAACCAGUCGCUUUCGAGCGUCCCUUUGGUGACUCUGAAUAACUUUGGGCUGAUCGCAUGGCCUCGUAGCCGGCGACAUAUCCUUCGAAGGUGUGCCCUAUCAAUGUCGACUGUGGCAUAGACGCCCACAGUGUGUUUUGACGGGUAACGGGGAAUCAGGGUUCGAUUCCGGAGAGGGAGCCUUAAAAACGGCUACCACAUCCAAGGAAGGCAGCAGGCACGCAAAUUACCCAAUGACCGAAGGUCGAGGUGUGACG
Molecule: ribosomal RNA, 472 nt
Filed under: uncultured eukaryote
Lineage: Eukaryota
Description: SSU rRNA
Rfam family: Eukaryotic small subunit ribosomal RNA
Source: RNAcentral